Long non-coding RNA from Cygnus olor (mute swan), 3928 nucleotides. RefSeq lists it as uncharacterized. NCBI's taxonomy places the organism in Eukaryota, Metazoa, Chordata, Aves, Anseriformes, Anatidae. The transcript is spliced from 4 exons. The record is from RefSeq and is a predicted model, not a curated record.
UGGUUUGUGCUCAGUGACUGUGAGGUGUAACAUGUCUGUAACAUCACAUGUUUCAUCAGGAUCAAAAUCUGUUUGCUGAAGCACUUUGCCACCACCUGAGACCUUUCUCCCUCUCCCACAGCCUUACCUUGUCAGAUUUGGUAAUGCCAGUUCCUGAGGAGCUGUGGUUCAGCUCAGAUCAUUGAGCAGCAUCUACAGAGGACAUAUUAAGGAAAAGACAGCUCUGAGAUGGUAGCAGACAUGGAAAAAAUCAUGCAUCAGAUACUUGGAAAAGAGCCUUAACGCCUGGUGGGAGGCAAGGUUUUUAAGGAAAAGCUGUGAGAUAACUGCAGGACCCCAAGUAAAGACCAGAUUCUGCCUCUCUGAUGUGCUGAUGGGAUUGUGUGUGACAAGUGAUGAAAUGCAAUGGGACACACAGAAUUGAGCUGCUGUCAGGUCCAUGGUCUGGUUACACAGGGCAGAACAAACACCAGCUGGGACACAAAACGGAACACUCAUCCAAUGACUAACAAAAGCAGAGGGAAGAUGAGGUGGAGCUACCAAGGAAAGCACAGGUGAAAAAUCGUGACCUAUGUUUUGUGGCGAGCAGAUGCCAACCUCACCACUGCAAGAUGGAAGCCAUCAGCUUCUGGACCUUGCCAUUGCACAGUGUGUGAUUGUAUCAACAGCUGGGACACGUGCCGGGGAUGAACGAAGCAAGUUGGAGCCAGAUGAUAACAUUUUUCCACUCUCAGGGUGUGUGUGUGAUUCUUCUUGAGGAAGAGCCUGUCUGAAACCCCUGGAUUCCAUGGUAGCUCAGCAUAUGACAGACUCAAAUAUAUAGCUGCAGCCCUUAAAGUGUAAUGAGUCCCUACUGUACAGUGAAACAAUUCCAGACAUACAUAUGCGACAUGGGAAGAACCAGGUGCCAAAAUUUUCUCUUCUGUCUGGCCAUAAACUUCAAAAAUAUUCUCUCUAAAAGAUGGUGACCAGCAGAAAAGAGCUACCCAGCUUCACUGGAAGCUCUCAAGUUCACCAAGAGCUUGUGGAGGAGAGUUGAGAAGGAGGAGAAGGCACAACCUACCAAGCAGAGACUGAAAGGUGACAUGUCUGGACAAAGGUGACAGUAGUGCAAAAAAACAGGUAACACUCAAGGCAUGGUUUGGCUGGUGUAAAUAUCUUGCAUGUCAUUUUAGUCAGCUUUGGAUACAUUUUACAGACUGUAUUUGAAAUUAAAACAAAACAAACAACAAAAAAACAACAAACAAAACAAACAAAAACAAAAAAGGUUUUCUCUCAAAUGCUCUCUUAUACUUAGCACCAGCAAUGUCUGAUACUUUCUGGCUGUAGAAAAUAGCAGAGCUCACAUUAGAAAACCCAAAUAGUUCUAAAAGGACUGCCACACAUUUUUAUUUUUUAAAAAAGUAGCUAAUAUCAAGUUUUAAAUUGCCGACAGUCUUCUGAACUGCUUACAAGACUGAUAGAUAAGUAGAAGAAAGGAUGGUCUCUAGAGAGCUAAUCUUGCAGCUAGUAAUCCUUUGGGUUUUCAAUAAAUAGAAUUGGAAACCAGGUUUUAUAUGAAGAAUGAUUAAGUUGCUUGUAUAAAGCUCAGAUUAGGAAUUAAAAAAAAAAAAAAGACAGGAAAAAGGAAAGAAAAGAAAGAAAAAAAGAAAGAGGAGGAAAAAAAACAUUUUAGUGGGAAACUAAAAUUCACAAAUCUACUGUUUCAUUAAAACCUGUAUGUUACAGUGGAAGAAUUCUUUAUUUUGUUUUGUUUUUACUGCAUGCAAUUUCCAUGGACAUACUGCAAAUUACAGAAAAUUGAUUUCAUACAGAAAAUCUGAUGCAUCUGAUGUUGUAUGGAUUGUAUUCAAACCAGUAAAUCAGCACAUAUUUUUGGUUUGUGCAUUAACUUGCAUCUCCUUAUUUCUUUGUUCACCCCCAAUAGCUAAACUGUAUAAAAAUAUCCAUAUACUCUUUAGAAAUACCAUGUAAAUGUGAGAAAUGCUAUACAUAAGUCAAAAAAAGAAGAAAAACUAGUUUUUAAAUCUUAAGUAAACCUAGAUUAAGAUUCUAAUGACUCAGUGGCAAAUUAUGAGAAUAUUCUGGCUGAAGAGGAAAAGAAAAUUCCCAAGAGUAACAUAGAUUUUAUGCAUAUGCUGGAGAAGUUAGAGGGGGAAACAUGGCAAAGACUUGAGAAAGGCAAAGCUGGCAGCAGUAUUAAAUCACAGGCUGAAGUAGUUCAUUUUUGUAUGAAACGGUAGCUCAUAUUGUGGAUUUAUAAAAUAUAUGUAUUUUUCAGAAGAAGCAAAGUGAAAAUGAGGUUGCAAAGUGUUAAUGAGGUCAGAUCUUCCUAAAGUCAGCCAGCCUUUGGUAGUCUAAGAAGAGAGAAAAAAAUACAAAUACUAGCUGCCAAGUCAUUAAACAACUAUGAUUUUGGCAUAGUCAUUCUGAUCACAUGAUGCACGUUCUACUAGCAAAAUCAGAGUUGUGUAAAUUCUUGCAAAGUAUUUUUAGAAAACUAUGAAGAAUUGUCUGAGAGCAAAUCAGAAGACAGAAUUGCCCUACAGAUAUUUUAAUUUCAUUGUGACAUAUCUGAGAAAACUUGUAGGAAAAAUAACAACAGUCUCUAAAAAGGCUACAAUAAAUCACUGUGGAUAAAUUUUCCAUUCUUUGUAUUGUUCCUGCCUAGGUUUGUCAUUUAAUUUCUACAAGUACUGUGAGAAAUCACUUUGCCUGGAAGGUUUUCAGGGGUUCUAUUGCUUUUUGGAAACUUAAAAUCCCUAUGUGACUCCAUAGCCCAAACUGUAGUUCUGCUCUUAAAGCUGCAAGUUUGAUGAACUCACACUGUUCUGUUCUUGUGCUGUGGUAGUGUUUUGUUGUUGUCAUAAUUAUUUCAAACCUAAAGGAGGCAUCCUGAUUAUCAGGUCCACACGUAAGAUCUUGGCAGUAGAGCAGGUUGCUGCUCUGUUGCUGGAGACCAUCCCGUCUCUAUUCUCAAAGGGUUUUUGCACAUCUCCCAGAGUGCAUGUGGGUAUCACUGCUGGAUGAAGAAGGCAAAAGUUAAUCCAGGUGAAGAUGACAGAUUUGAAAUAGCUUGUGAUAGCUUGAAAUAGUUGGUGUUCAAUGCUUUUUGUUUGUUUGAUUGUUUUUCUCCCCAUAGUACACAUUGUUAUUAAGGGGAAUUUUGUGAGAUGAUGCAUUUUUCCUAAGUGAUGAUGAGAUAGAUUUCAGCUGAAGGUCUGUAAUGCCUUUUUAUGAAAUAAUCAGCACUUUUACACUAUUAACACCAAAGGUAGUCCUAUGUGAUAUUGUUUCUGGUGAUAAAAUAACCUCAAAAGAAGUUUGUUUGUCUUUUUUUUUUUUUUUUUUUUUUUUUUAAUCUGACAAGUAAACGUUUAAUAUUCACUUAGGUCUUAAGGAGUCAAAAGUACUCAACAGUCUGAAAUCUGACCUCUUGCGGUAUAAAGAAUGGAAAAAAUACUAAGAGAUCAGUAAUAGUAGGUAGAGUGUGGAACAAUCAUUACAGCAAGGGCAGAAAGAAUGGAGAUAAAUGCCUGUUGCAAAUCUAAUUUUGGGAAAGGUCUGAAUCAGAACUAAGAAGUUACAGAACAGUCCAUUUAAAUGAAUGUUCAUUCUCAUGCUCUUUGUUAUGUAAUCUGUGAACAAUGAAAGGAAUGAAAUGGCAUCAUAUAAAGCACCAUUCUCUGACCAUGAUUAAAACUGUACUUUUCUUCCUCUCACUGCAUCAUUAAAAUCUUUACUAAAAAUGGGGACAUUCCAGUUUUUACAGUUUCACGUUAUUGCUAAUGGGGAGGGUGGCCAAUAUUAAAAAAAAAAAAAAAGUAAAAAAAAAAAAAAAAAAAGUGGAGAAACCAUCAGAAAUGUGAUUGCAAUUCCAGGAACAGUUAUAAAAUCUUUCUAUUAAAGUCAACAAAACAGUUUAUUC